UGCUGCCAAGGAAAACUGCAUGAUGCAC
This 28-nucleotide non-coding RNA is filed under the name Homo sapiens (human). Lineage: Eukaryota; Metazoa; Chordata; Mammalia; Primates; Hominidae. The record is from RNAcentral.